This 184-nucleotide non-coding RNA is filed under the name Agrobacterium tumefaciens str. CFBP 5621. Lineage: Bacteria; Pseudomonadati; Pseudomonadota; Alphaproteobacteria; Hyphomicrobiales; Rhizobiaceae. RNAcentral also lists the same sequence under 2 other names. The record is from RNAcentral.
CCAUAGCUUCCUUUGUCAGGUGCCCGCCCUUGCGACGGGAGAAUCGGGAAUCCGGUGAAAGACCGGAACGUGCCCAGCGCUGUGAGGCGGACGCUCUUUUUUAGAAGCCACUGAAGCAAUUCGGGAAGGCGAAAAGGGCGGAUGAAGCCAAGUCAGAAGACCGGCCUGACGGGAUAGACCGAAC